This 233-nucleotide ribosomal RNA is filed under the name uncultured bacterium. RNAcentral's name for it is "partial 16S ribosomal RNA". It matches the Rfam family "Bacterial small subunit ribosomal RNA", at positions 796 to 1041 of the family's 1533-position model. The record is from RNAcentral.
CACGCUGUAAACGAUGAUUACUAAGUGUCGGGAAACCGGUGCUGAAGCUAACGCAUUAAGUAAUCCACCUGAGUAGUACGGUCGCAAGACUGAAACUCAAAGGAAUUGACGGGCACCCGCACAAGCGGUGGAGCAUGCUGUUUAAUUCGAAGAUACGCGAAGAACCUUACCUAGACUUGACAUCCCCGGCAAAGCUAUAGAAAUAUAGUGGAGGUUACCCGGGUGACAGGUGG